AGCAGCCGCGGUAAUUCCAGCUCCAAUAGCGUAUAUUUAAGGUCUUGCAGUUAAAAAGCUCGUAGUUGGAUUUUGGGGUCAGUAGGUCGGUCGUGCCUCGGUACGUACUGGCAUUGUUGGUUUCUCCCUUCUGACGAACCAUGAUGUCAUUUAUUUGGUGUUGUGGGGAAUCAGGACUGUUACUUUGAAAAAAUUAGAAGUGUUUAAAGCAGGCUCACGCUUGAAUACAUUAGCAUGGAAUAAUGAAAUAGGACGUUUGAUUCUAUUUUGUUGGUUUCUAGGAUCGACGUAAUGAUUAAUAGGGAUAGUUGGGGGCAUUAGUAUUCAAUUGUCAGAGGUGAAAUUCUUGGAUUUAUUGAAGACUAACUACUGCGAAAGCAUUUGCCAAGGAUGUUUUCAUUAAUCAAGAACGAAAGUUAGGGGAUCGAAGACGAUCAGAUACCGUCGUAGUCUUAACCAUAAACUAUGCCGACUAGGGAUCGGAUGAUGUUAAUUUUUAAUGACUCAUUCGGCGCCUUAC
Molecule: ribosomal RNA, 520 nt
Filed under: uncultured Glomus
Lineage: Eukaryota; Fungi; Glomeromycota; Glomeromycetes; Glomerales; Glomeraceae
Description: SSU rRNA
Rfam family: Eukaryotic small subunit ribosomal RNA
Source: RNAcentral